Molecule: ribosomal RNA, 165 nt
Filed under: uncultured bacterium
Lineage: Bacteria
Description: partial 16S rRNA
Rfam family: Bacterial small subunit ribosomal RNA
Source: RNAcentral
UAGGGAAUCUUCCACAAUGGACGCAAGUCUGAUGGAGCAACGCCGCGUGAGUGAAGAAGGUCUUCGGAUCGUAAAACUCUGUUGUAAGAGAAGAACGUGUGUGAGAGUGGAAAGUUCACACAGUGACGGUAACUUACCAGAAAGGGACGGCUAACUACGUGCCGA